UGCAGUCGAACGGUGAAGGAGGAGCUUGCUCCUUUGGAUCAGUGGCGAACGGGUGAGUAACACGUGAGUAACCUGCCCCAGACUCUGGGAUAAGCACUGGAAACGGUGUCUAAUACCGGAUACGAGCUUCAGCCGCAUGGCUAGGAGCUGGAAAGAAUUUCGGUCUGGGAUGGACUCGCGGCCUAUCAGCUAGUUGGUGAGGUAAUGGCUCACCAAGGCGACGACGGGUAGCCGGCCUGAGAGGGUGACCGGCCACACUGGGACUGAGACACGGCCCAGACUCCUACGGGAGGCAGCAGUGGGGAAUAUUGCACAAUGGGCGCAAGCCUGAUGCAGCAACGCCGCGUGAGGGACGACGGCCUUCGGGUUGUAAACCUCUUUUAGUAGGGAAGAAGCGAAAGUGACGGUACCUGCAGAAAAAGCACCGGCUAACUACGUGCCAGCAGCCGCGGUAAUACGUAGGGUGCAAGCGUUAUCCGGAAUUAUUGGGCGUAAAGAGCUCGUAGGCGGUUUGUCGCGUCUGCUGUGAAAACUGGAGGCUCAACCUCCAGCCUGCAGUGGGUACGGGCAGACUAGAGUGCGGUAGGGGAGAUUGGAAUUCCUGGUGUAGCGGUGGAAUGCGCAGAUAUCAGGAGGAACACCGAUGGCGAAGGCAGAUCUCUGGGCCGUAACUGACGCUGAGGAGCGAAAGCAUGGGGAGCGAACAGGAUUAGAUACCCUGGUAGUCCAUGCCGUAAACGUUGGGAACUAGAUGUAGGGACCAUUCCACGGUUUCUGUGUCGCAGCUAACGCAUUAAGUUCCCCGCCUGGGGAGUACGGCCGCAAGGCUAAAACUCAAAGGAAUUGACGGGGGCCCGCACAAGCGGCGGAGCAUGCGGAUUAAUUCGAUGCAACGCGAAGAACCUUACCAAGGCUUGACAUAUACCCGGAAAAGUUCAGAAAUGUUCUCCCCGCAAGGCCGGUAUACAGGUGGUGCAUGGUUGUCGUCAGCUCGUGUCGUGAGAUGUUGGGGUUAAGUCCCGCAACGAGCGCAACCCUCGUUCUAUGUUGCCAGCACGUAAUGGUGGGAACUCAUAGGA
This 1079-nucleotide ribosomal RNA is filed under the name Frigoribacterium sp. 1056G87. RNAcentral's name for it is "bacterial SSU rRNA". It matches the Rfam family "Bacterial small subunit ribosomal RNA", at positions 56 to 1146 of the family's 1533-position model. Lineage: Bacteria; Bacillati; Actinomycetota; Actinomycetes; Micrococcales; Microbacteriaceae. The record is from RNAcentral.